Molecule: regulatory RNA element, 54 nt
Organism: Glaciecola punicea
Lineage: Bacteria; Pseudomonadati; Pseudomonadota; Gammaproteobacteria; Alteromonadales; Alteromonadaceae
Rfam family: L31-Gammaproteobacteria ribosomal protein leader
Source: Rfam
CGCUUGGUGUGCAACUUCGGGUUGUAUAGCGAGGCGGCCUUAAAUAAGAAAGGU